RNAcentral lists this ribosomal RNA (752 nucleotides) under Bacillus amyloliquefaciens. RNAcentral describes it as "bacterial SSU rRNA". It matches the Rfam family "Bacterial small subunit ribosomal RNA", at positions 58 to 792 of the family's 1533-position model. Lineage: Bacteria; Bacillati; Bacillota; Bacilli; Caryophanales; Bacillaceae. The record is from RNAcentral.
CAAGUCGAGCGGACAGAUGGGAGCUUGCUCCCUGAUGUUAGCGGCGGACGGGUGAGUAACACGUGGGUAACCUGCCUGUAAGACUGGGAUAACUCCGGGAAACCGGGGCUAAUACCGGAUGCUUGUUUGAACCGCAUGGUUCAAACAUAAAAGGUGGCUUCGGCUACCACUUACAGAUGGACCCGCGGCGCAUUAGCUAGUUGGUGAGGUAACGGCUCACCAAGGCGACGAUGCGUAGCCGACCUGAGAGGGUGAUCGGCCACACUGGGACUGAGACACGGCCCAGACUCCUACGGGAGGCAGCAGUAGGGAAUCUUCCGCAAUGGACGAAAGUCUGACGGAGCAACGCCGCGUGAGUGAUGAAGGUUUUCGGAUCGUAAAGCUCUGUUGUUAGGGAAGAACAAGUGCCGUUCAAAUAGGGCGGCACCUUGACGGUACCUAACCAGAAAGCCACGGCUAACUACGUGCCAGCAGCCGCGGUAAUACGUAGGUGGCAAGCGUUGUCCGGAAUUAUUGGGCGUAAAGGGCUCGCAGGCGGUUUCUUAAGUCUGAUGUGAAAGCCCCCGGCUCAACCGGGGAGGGUCAUUGGAAACUGGGGAACUUGAGUGCAGAAGAGGAGAGUGGAAUUCCACGUGUAGCGGUGAAAUGCGUAGAGAUGUGGAGGAACACCAGUGGCGAAGGCGACUCUCUGGUCUGUAACUGACGCUGAGGAGCGAAAGCGUGGGGAGCGAACAGGAUUAGAUACCCUGGUA